AGGAGCAGCUUGCUGCUUCGCUGACGAGUGGCGGACGGGUGAGUAAUGUCUGGGAAACUGCCUGAUGGAGGGGGAUAACUACUGGAAACGGUAGCUAAUACCGCAUAACGUCGCAAGACCAAAGAGGGGGACCUUCGGGCCUCUUGCCAUCGGAUGUGCCCAGAUGGGAUUAGCUAGUAGGUGGGGUAACGGCUCACCUAGGCGACGAUCCCUAGCUGGUCUGAGAGGAUGACCAGCCACACUGGAACUGAGACACGGUCCAGACUCCUACGGGAGGCAGCAGUGGGGAAUAUUGCACAAUGGGCGCAAGCCUGAUGCAGCCAUGCCGCGUGUAUGAAGAAGGCCUUCGGGUUGUAAAGUACUUUCAGCGGGGAGGAAGGGAGUAAAGUUAAUACCUUUGCUCAUUGACGUUACCCGCAGAAGAAGCACCGGCUAACUCCGUGCCAGCAGCCGCGGUAAUACGGAGGGUGCAAGCGUUAAUCGGAAUUACUGGGCGUAAAGCGCACGCAGGCGGUUUGUUAAGUCAGAUGUGAAAUCCCCGGGCUCAACCUGGGAACUGCAUCUGAUACUGGCAAGCUUGAGUCUCGUAGAGGGGGGUAGAAUUCCAUGUGU
RNAcentral lists this ribosomal RNA (612 nucleotides) under Escherichia coli. RNAcentral describes it as "bacterial SSU rRNA". It matches the Rfam family "Bacterial small subunit ribosomal RNA", at positions 71 to 676 of the family's 1533-position model. Lineage: Bacteria; Pseudomonadati; Pseudomonadota; Gammaproteobacteria; Enterobacterales; Enterobacteriaceae. The record is from RNAcentral.